CAUGUGGGCAGCCUGUGGAGACGGCUCAGACCAAGUUUGAGAUGUUCUCCCUCAGUGGCACGUUUGGCACCAGCUACGUCUUCCCAGAAGUGUUGUACAGCGGGGUGCAGCUGGCCCCCGGGGAGUUCGAGGUGCUAAGUGACGGACGUCUGACAAGUCAGAAUACUACGUCAAAGCCAGUUUUGAGUGUAACACUCUUUGGGAGGUGGUAUGAGAAGGACCCUCCACAGACACAUCAAGCUUCAGCAUGAUUUCACGGCAGAUCCUUCAAGCUUUCAUCUGCUUGUUUCUGUAACACUAAUUAAUUAC
Molecule: long non-coding RNA, 309 nt
Organism: Ficedula albicollis (Collared flycatcher)
Lineage: Eukaryota; Metazoa; Chordata; Aves; Passeriformes; Muscicapidae
Exons: 2
Source: RefSeq, a predicted model, not a curated record